This 292-nucleotide unclassified non-coding RNA is filed under the name plant metagenome. RNAcentral describes it as "partial contains small subunit ribosomal RNA, internal transcribed spacer 1, and 5.8S ribosomal RNA". The record is from RNAcentral.
UUUCCGUAGGUGAACCUGCGGAAGGAUCAUUAUUGAAUAAACCUGAUGUGGUUGUAGCUGGCCCUUUCGGGAGCAUGUGCACACCCGUCGUCUUUAUCUUUCCACCUGUGCACCCUUUGUAGACCUGGAUGUAACACUUUCCGAGGCAACUCGGUCGGGAGGAAUGCUGUCAGCUUUCCUUGAAUGUCCAGGCCUAUGUUUUCAUAUACCCCAAAGAAUGUAACAGAAUGUAUUAUUGGGCCUUGUGCCUAUAAACUAUAUACAACUUUCAGCAACGGAUCUCUUGGCUCUC